GGAUAGCUCAGUCGGUAGAGCAUAAGACUCUUAAUCUCAGGGGGUUUGAGCCCCAUGUUGGGCA
Molecule: non-coding RNA, 64 nt
Organism: Podarcis lilfordi (Lilford's wall lizard)
Lineage: Eukaryota; Metazoa; Chordata; Lepidosauria; Squamata; Lacertidae
Source: the annotation of a GenBank genome assembly